ACGGGUGAGUAAUACAUCGGAACGUGUCUUCUAGUGGGGGAUAACUGCCCGAAAGGGCAGCUAAUACCGCAUGAGACCUGAGGGUGAAAGCGGGGGAUCGCAAGACCUCGCGCUGGAAGAGCGGCCGAUGUCCGAUUAGCUAGUUGGUGAGGUAAAGGCUCACCAAGGCGACGAUCAGUAGCCGACCUGAGAGGGUGACCGGCCACAUUGGGACUGAGACACGGCCCAG
RNAcentral lists this ribosomal RNA (229 nucleotides) under uncultured bacterium. RNAcentral's name for it is "partial 16S ribosomal RNA". It matches the Rfam family "Bacterial small subunit ribosomal RNA", at positions 102 to 334 of the family's 1533-position model. The record is from RNAcentral.